This 200-nucleotide ribosomal RNA is filed under the name uncultured bacterium. RNAcentral describes it as "partial 16S ribosomal RNA". It matches the Rfam family "Bacterial small subunit ribosomal RNA", at positions 8 to 208 of the family's 1533-position model. The record is from RNAcentral.
AGAGUUUGAUCAUGGCUCAGGACGAACGCUGGCGGCGUGCCUAAUACAUGCAAGUCGAGCGGAGUUGUUCCUUCGGGGACAGCUUAGCGGCGGACGGGUGAGUAACACGUGGGCAACCUGCCUGUAAGGUUGGGAUAACUGUCGGAAACGGCAGCUAAUACCGGAUAAUUGGCCUUUUCGCAUGGAGAGGCUAUGAAAGG